Molecule: transfer RNA, 74 nt
Filed under: Camelus bactrianus (Bactrian camel)
Lineage: Eukaryota; Metazoa; Chordata; Mammalia; Artiodactyla; Camelidae
Also listed under: 2 other names
Rfam family: tRNA
About the family: Transfer RNA (tRNA) molecules are approximately 80 nucleotides in length. Their secondary structure includes four short double-helical elements and three loops (D, anti-codon, and T loops).
Source: Rfam by way of RNAcentral
GAGGGGACAGCUCCAGUGGUAGAGCACAUGCUUAGCAUGCAUGAGGUCCUGGGUUCAAUUCCCCAGUACCUCCA